RNAcentral lists this ribosomal RNA (794 nucleotides) under uncultured bacterium. RNAcentral describes it as "bacterial SSU rRNA". It matches the Rfam family "Bacterial small subunit ribosomal RNA", at positions 8 to 796 of the family's 1533-position model. The record is from RNAcentral.
AGAGUUUGAUCAUGGCUCAGGAUGAACGCUAGCGGCAGGCUUAAUACAUGCAAGUCGUGGGGCAGCAUGGUGUAGCAAUACACUGAUGGCGACCGGCAAACGGGUGCGGAACACGUACGCAACCUUCCUUUAAGUGGAGAAUAGCCCGGCGAAAGCCGGAUUAAUACUCCGUAACAUUAUGAAGUGGCAUCACUUUAUAAUUAUAGCUCCGGCGCUUAAAGAUGGGCGUGCGUCUGAUUAGGUAGUUGGCGGGGUAACGGCCCACCAAGCCUACGAUCAGUAACUGGUGUGAGAGCACGACCAGUCACACGGGCACUGAGACACGGGCCCGACUCCUACGGGAGGCAGCAGUAAGGAAUAUUGGUCAAUGGACGCAAGUCUGAACCAGCCAUGCCGCGUGAAGGAUGAAGGUCCUCUGGAUUGUAAACUUCUUUUAUUUGGGAAGAAACCCAAGAUUUCUAUUUUGGUUGACGGUACCAGAUGAAUAAGCACCGGCUAACUCCGUGCCAGCAGCCGCGGUAAUACGGAGGGUGCAAGCGUUAUCCGGAUUCACUGGGUUUAAAGGGUGCGUAGGCGGGCAGGUAAGUCCGUGGUGAAAUCUCCAAGCUUAACUUGGAAACUGCCGUGGAUACUAUUUUGUCUUGAAUAUAGUGGAGGUGAGCGGAAUAUCAUGUAGCGGUGAAAUGCUUAGAUAUGACAUAGAACACCCAUUGCGAGGGCAGCUCGCUACACUAUUAUUGACGCUGAGGCACGAAAGCGUGGGGAUCAAACAGGAUUAGAUACCCCAGUAGUCC